CCUACGGGAGGCAGCAGUGAGGAAUAUUGGUCAAUGGACGCAAGUCUGAACCAGCCAUGCCGCGUGCAGGAAGACGGCUCUAUGAGUUGUAAACUGCUUUUGUACGAGGAUAAACGCAGAUACGCGUAUCUGUCUGAAAGUAUCGUACGAAUAAGGAUCGGCUAACUCCGUGCCAGCAGCCGCGGUAAUACGGAGGAUUCAAGCGUUAUCCGGAUUUAUUGGGUUUAAAGGGUGCGUAGGCGGUCGGAUAAGUUAGAGGUGAAAUCCCGAGGCUCAACUUCGGAAUUGCCUCUGAUACUGUUCGGCUAGAGAGUAGUUGCGGUAGGCGGAAUGUAUGGUGUAGCAGUGAAAUGCUUAGAGAUCAUACAGAACACCGAUUGCGAAGGCAGCUUACCAAGCUACUUCUGACGUUGAGGCACGAAAGCGUGGGGAGCAAACAGGAUUAGAUACCCUGGUAGUC
RNAcentral lists this ribosomal RNA (460 nucleotides) under uncultured bacterium. RNAcentral's name for it is "partial 16S ribosomal RNA". It matches the Rfam family "Bacterial small subunit ribosomal RNA", at positions 338 to 795 of the family's 1533-position model. The record is from RNAcentral.